RNAcentral lists this unclassified non-coding RNA (410 nucleotides) under Hevea brasiliensis (rubber tree). The record is from RNAcentral. Lineage: Eukaryota; Viridiplantae; Streptophyta; Magnoliopsida; Malpighiales; Euphorbiaceae.
UGAAAUUCGCGUUUUCGCCGCAGUGGAGGCACAUUAUCUUUGUGACUUUUCCCAGAGAGUUGGUGGUGUUCGAUUUGCAGUACGAGACGGCCCUUUUUAGCACGGCAUUGCCACGAGGGUGUGGGAAGUUUCUGGAUGUGUUACCGGAUCCAAAUAAUGAGCUGCUGUAUUGUGCUCACCUUGAUGGGAGGCUCAGCAUAUGGCGUCGUAAAGAAGGAGAGCAGGUGCAUGUAAUGUGUACGAUGGAGGAGAUGAUGCCCUCAAUUGGCUCAUCUGUCCCUUCUCCUUCGGUUCUAGCUGUCACCAUCUGCCAAUCAGAGUCCACACUCCAAAAUGUUGCCAAGUUAUAUUCUGAUGCACCUAAUGCACCUUUAGCUGAUAUGGAUUUUGAUAAUCCCUUUGAUUUCUGU